CUGAAACUGAAGCUAGUGAAGCCAC
RNAcentral lists this non-coding RNA (25 nucleotides) under Cricetulus griseus (Chinese hamster). The record is from RNAcentral. Lineage: Eukaryota; Metazoa; Chordata; Mammalia; Rodentia; Cricetidae.